Molecule: long non-coding RNA, 759 nt
Organism: Vicia villosa (hairy vetch)
Lineage: Eukaryota; Viridiplantae; Streptophyta; Magnoliopsida; Fabales; Fabaceae
Exons: 6
Source: RefSeq, a predicted model, not a curated record
AACUUUUCACUUUUCAUAUUCUCUCUCUUUGUUGUAUCGUUCUCUCUCUUAAUCUAUCGUUACCUCCUUCUCCAAACUAACCCUAAUUUCAAUAUUUUUCCCCAAUUUCAUCUCAAAGCUGCAAAUUCGACAUAGUUGAUUUGUCACUUUUUCCCUACUUUCGCGCAAAGGGUUGGUUAUGCUUAUAGCUAUCGCUUGACAUUGCUUUGAUUUCCAAGUUCUACAAAGCUAAAAAGGAAAAGAAGAUUUCAAGACAUGAAUUGAUACAAAAAGUGAGACAAAUUGCUAGAGACAAGUUGCUGAUUUCGGCCAUCAAGUCUUACAAAACAAAGGAGACGGCCUCACAGACUCAUUGCGCAAUCUAUCUAGCACUGAGGUCAAGAGUGUUGUUGACUGGAGGGAUUUCUACCACAAAUCUUACAAGUUCUUUAACUUGAAGAUGAGCAAUGAUGAGAAAAGUUUUGGCAUGCAAAGAAGAGGUGGAAAGGUGAAGAAAUUGAGUGGCUCCAAUCAGUUGGAAUUCUCUUGUAGCUUAAGGACUUUGAUUUUAUGCAACUUGAAUUCAACUUGUUUCAACUUAGGAUAUGUAGCUAGUAGUCUAGUACUGUAUGUAAUCUUGAAUUUGAAUCUUGUUUCACUUAGAAAUUCUCUUUUGUAAUUCAAGAACUUGAUGUAAUUGAAAUCGAUAGGUUUGUACUAAUUUUGUAUCACUUUUUCUAAACUUAUUAACAUUAAUUAUGUCAUUUCAUACUAGUGUAU